CCCCCUUUUAGCUCAGUGGUCGAGCGUUGGCUUUGGAAGCCACAGGUCGGUGGUUCGAAACCAUUAGGGCA
This 71-nucleotide transfer RNA is filed under the name Phytophthora infestans (potato late blight agent). Its description in RNAcentral is "tRNA-Pro". It matches the Rfam family "tRNA". Rfam says of the family: Transfer RNA (tRNA) molecules are approximately 80 nucleotides in length. Their secondary structure includes four short double-helical elements and three loops (D, anti-codon, and T loops). The record is from RNAcentral. Lineage: Eukaryota; Oomycota; Peronosporomycetes; Peronosporales; Peronosporaceae.